UUUUCCGCAAUGGGCGAAAGCCUGACGGAGCAAUACCGCGUGAGGGAGGAAGGCUCUUGGGUUGUAAACCUCUUUUCUCAGGGAAUAAAAAAAUGAAGGUACCUGAGGAAUAAGCAUCGGCUAACUCCGUGCCAGCAGCCGCGGUAAUACGGAGGAUGCAAGCGUUAUCCGGAAUGAUUGGGCGUAAAGCGUCCGCAGGUGGCACUGUAAGUCUGCUGUUAAAGAGCAAGGCUCAACCUUGUAAAGGCAGUGGAAACUACAGAGCUAGAGUACGUUCGGGGCAGAGGGAAUUCCUGGUGUAGCGGUGAAAUGCGUAGAGAUCAGGAAGAACACCGGUGGCGAAAGCGCUCUGCUAGGCCGUAACUGACACUGAGGGACGAAAGCUAGGGGAGCGAAUGGGAUUAGAUACCCCAGUAGUCCUAGCCGUAAACGAUGGAUACUAGGCGUGGCUUGUAUCGACCCGAGCCGUGCCGGAGCCAACGCGUUAAGUAUCCCGCCUGGGGAGUACGCACGCAAGUGUGAAACUCACAGGAAUUGACGGGGGCCGCACAAGCGGUGGAGUAUGUGGUUUAAUUCGAUGCAACGCGAAGAACCUUACCAAGACUUGACAUGUCGCGAAUCUUCUUGAAAGGGAAGAGUGCCUUAGGGAGCGCGAACACAGGUGGUGCAUGGCUGUCGUCAGCUCGUGUCGUGAGAUGUUGGGUUAAGUCCCGCAACGAGCGCAACCCUCGUUUUUAGUUGCCAGCAUUAAGUUGGGCACUCUAGAGAGACUGCCGGUGACAAACCGGAGGAAGGUGGGGAUGACGUCAAGUCAGCAUGCCCCUUACGUCUUGGGCUACACACGUACUACAAUGCUACGGACAGAGGGCAGCAAGCUAGCGAUAGCAAGCAAAUCCCGUAAACCGUAGCUCAGUUCAGAUCGCAGGCUGCAACUCGCCUGCGUGAAGGAGGAAUCGCUAGUAAUUGCAGGUCAGGCUACUGCAGUGAAUUCGUUCCCGGGCCUUGUACACACCGCCCGUCACACCAUGGAAGCUGGCAACGCCCGAAGUCAUUACUCCAACUUUUAGGAGAGGAGGAUGCCUAAGGCAGUGCUGGUGACUGGGGUGAAGUCGUAACAAGGUAGC
Molecule: ribosomal RNA, 1124 nt
Filed under: Trichormus variabilis RPAN45
Lineage: Bacteria; Bacillati; Cyanobacteriota; Cyanophyceae; Nostocales; Nostocaceae
Also listed under: 2 other names
Description: bacterial SSU rRNA
Rfam family: Bacterial small subunit ribosomal RNA
Source: RNAcentral